RNAcentral lists this ribosomal RNA (1377 nucleotides) under Solemya elarraichensis. RNAcentral's name for it is "large subunit ribosomal RNA". It matches the Rfam family "Bacterial large subunit ribosomal RNA". The record is from RNAcentral. Lineage: Eukaryota; Metazoa; Mollusca; Bivalvia; Solemyida; Solemyidae.
AACAUAUUAAUAGCAUUAAAAAUUAAAAGGUAAGUUAUAUAAUGACAGAAGUAUCUAAUCGUUAAAGUAUUAUUUAAAGAAAUAUUUUAUGUAGCUAUAGUUUAAGAGUACUGAGAAGGAAAUUGUAAAAUUUAUAUUAAGUAGAAAUGUAUGUUCGUACCUUUUGCAUCAUGAUUAUGCGAGAUAUAAAUAUUAAUAUAUUGUCCCGAAAUUAUGUGAGCUAUUCUUUGACUUAAGUCAAUGUUGCAAAAUUGUUUUUAGAUUAUAGAAUAGAUGUGAAAUGUAAGUCGCACAUAAUGAUAGCUGGUUGACCCAGAAAUAUAUGUAAGUAUAGCUUUUUGUUUUUAGUUUUGUUAUAGCAUUACUGGGAAACAUAGGAGUUCCGUAGAAGAAUAUAAGUUCUUUUAUUGUAUUAAAGAAUAAUGUAUGAGAAUUAUUAAUUAAAGUAGGUUUAGAAUUUGCUAUCUUUAUGAGUUUGUUUUUAAAAAAAUAUUUGUUACUAAUAAUUUUUUUUUAUUUAUCUUAGAUUAUAUGGGUUCUAUACUUUAAAUUGAUUUAAAUUAUGAGUUUAUGUAUAAAUGAGUAUAUUGUAAAAUAAAUAUUGUUGUUGGCUGUAAGUGCUUGAAGUAGAGCUUAUUGUUAUAAAUUUUUGUGUAUAAGGUUAGUUUAAGGAAUUCGGCAAAUUAAGUCCCGCCUGUUUAUCAAAAACAUCGCUUUUUGUUAACAAUAAAUGAAAAGUAGAGCCUGCCCAGUGAAGAAAUUUAAACGGCCGCAGUACCCUGACUGUGCGAAGGUAGCAUAAUCAUUUGCUCUUUAAUUGGGAGCUGGAAUGAAUGGUUUGACGAGGGCUUAACUGUCUUAAAUUGAUUUAUUAGAAAUUGACUUUUAGGUGAAGAGGCCUAAAUUAAUUUAUAGGACAAGAAGACCCUAUUGAGCUUUAAUUUUUUGUUUAAAUAAAAAUAUAUUGAUAGAGUUUAAUUAAGUAUAAGAUUUUGAUUGGGGCGAUCAAGGAAAAAAAUAAUCUUCCUUUAUAUGUGUAAAUUAUGUUAAUUGGUGAUCCAGAAUGGUUCUGAUUAUAAGAAGAAGUUACCAUAGGGAUAACAGCGUAAUCUUUUUUGAGAGUUCUUAUCGAAAAAGAGGGUUGCGACCUCGAUGUUGGACUAAGGUGUCCUGAAGGUGUAGCAGCUUUCGAGGGUUGGUCUGUUCGACCAUUAAAACCUUACAUGAUCUGAGUUCAGACCGGCGUGAGCCAGGUUGGUUUCUAUCCUUAAAUUUUGAAUAAAGUUUUUACUAGUACGAAAGGAUCGUUUAAAACUAAUUUACAAGAUUAGAAAAGAUGAGGUUUAAGAUAACAUCAUAAUAAAGUUGUUUAAGUUU